CAGCCGCCGCGGUAAGACAGAGGGUGCAAGCGUUAUCCGGAAUGAUUGGGCGUAAAGCGUGCGCAGGCGGUUAUGUAAGACAGUUGUGAAAUCCCCGGGCUCAACCUGGGAACUGCAUCUGUGACCGCAUAGCUAGAGUACGGUAGAGGGGGAUGGAAUUCCGCGUGUAGCAGUGAAAUGCGUAGAUAUGCGGAGGAACACCGAUGGCGAAGGCAAUCCCCUGGACCUGUACUGACGCUCAUGCACGAAAGCGUGGGGAGCAAACAGGAUUAGAUACCCCAGUAGUCCCUGUCUCUUAUAC
Molecule: ribosomal RNA, 301 nt
Filed under: uncultured bacterium
Lineage: Bacteria
Description: partial 16S ribosomal RNA
Rfam family: Bacterial small subunit ribosomal RNA
Source: RNAcentral